GAUGAAGAACGUAGCGAAAUGCGAUAAGUAAUGUGAAUUGCAGAAUUCAGUGAAUCAUCGAAUCUUUGAACGCACAUUGCGCCCGCCAGUAUUCUGGCGGGCAUGCCUGUCUGAGCGUCAUUUCAACCCUCAUGCCCCUAGGGCGUGGUGUUGGGGAUCGGCCAAAGCCCGCAAGGGACGGCCGGCCCCUAAAUCUAGUGGCGGACCCGUCGUGGCCUCCUCUGCGAAGUAGUGAUAUUCCGCAUCGGAGAGCGACGAGCCCCUGCCGUUAAACCCCCAACUUUCCAAGGUUGACCUCAGAUCAGGUAGGAAUACCCGCUGAACUUAAGCAUAUCAAUAAGCGGAGGA
This 348-nucleotide unclassified non-coding RNA is filed under the name soil metagenome. RNAcentral describes it as "partial contains 5.8S ribosomal RNA, internal transcribed spacer 2, and large subunit ribosomal RNA". The stretch from base 1 to 120 matches the Rfam family "5.8S ribosomal RNA", at positions 35 to 154 of the family's 154-position model. The record is from RNAcentral.